Long non-coding RNA from Oreochromis aureus, 1013 nucleotides. Lineage: Eukaryota; Metazoa; Chordata; Actinopteri; Cichliformes; Cichlidae. The record is from Ensembl.
UGACAGCUAACUGGGAGUACUGGGAGUACACAAUAAAGGUGGAAAAGAAAGAAAAAAUGUCACAGACCAGUUGUAUGGGAGGUUUUUCCUCCUGAACGUUAAAAGUUGAUAUGUAUCAUAUCAUGGAGUUGUAUGUUGAUGAUACUAUUGUUUCCACACAUGGUCGAAAAUAUUUCAGACUACAUCAAGUCCAUUUAUGUUCCUCAGUCUGUGUCUGUGGGAACAAAUAUUUUUAGUUUUGAAGUCAUCAUAGUUUUAAGACAUUUUGUUGACUGACUUCAUAGAAAGUCAAGAAAAGAUACGACUGAAAUAAUAAAUAAAUUCCACUCUAUAUUUGAAGGUUAAUGUUUUGCAAACCUCAGUCUCAGUGGAAAACUGCAACACACGCCUCAGCUGUCACUCAGCAGCAGCACUGACAGCUGCAGCAGUUAAUGGGAGGUUUUAGGAGUUGUUAGAAACACGUGGUCCUCGUCUGAUCAUAUAAAUUGUCCUUGUUUGGCCUCGUUUCUAUCAAAGCAUCACUUCUCCUGAGAUUCACCAGAGGAAACGUCACUGAACACAACGGUUCACACAAUGCUUUUCCUCCCAGCUGCUGCUCUGUGUUGUCUGUGUUUAGCGCUGGUUACCAUGGCCGCAGAGCUGAUGCAGAAAGAUUUAACUUUGACUGCGACACCUGGCAAAAAAGUCUCCUUCAGCUGUGGAACUGCCCAGUGCAGUGGCAGCUAUGUGCACUGGUACCAGAAGAAAGACGAUGAUAAGUUCAGAGUGAUUCUUGAUAUUAACAUACGCACUGGUGAAGUCGACAGUGACUACAACCAUGCUCAGAAAAAAGAUUUCUCAGCUGUGAAAAACGAGAACAGCUGUGAGUUGGAGAUAAAUGCAGUUAGCCUCGUUCAUUCAGCCAUCUACUACUGCUGCUGUGCUCAAAGCUCUCACAGUGACAAAAGAUCCCUGCAGACUGAACAAAAACCAUCAAAGGAACAGCAGCAGACCACAGACCAGGUUCACACACA